UACGGGGGGAGCAAGCGUUGUUCGGAUUUACUGGGCGUAAAGGGCGCGUAGGCGGCGUGACAAGUCACUUGUGAAAUCUCCGGGCUUAACCCGGAGCGGCCAAGUGAUACUGUUGUGCUAGAGUGCGGAAGGGGCUACUGGAAUUCUCGGUGUAGCGGUGAAAUGCGUAGAUAUCGAGAGGAACACCUGCGGCGAAGGCGGGUAGCUGGGCCGACACUGACGCUGAGGCGCGAAAGCCAGGGGAGCGAACGGG
This 253-nucleotide ribosomal RNA is filed under the name uncultured bacterium. Its description in RNAcentral is "partial 16S ribosomal RNA". It matches the Rfam family "Bacterial small subunit ribosomal RNA", at positions 524 to 776 of the family's 1533-position model. The record is from RNAcentral.